UACGGAGGGUGCAAGCGUUGUCCGGAAUCAUUGGGCGUAAAGAGUUCGUAGGCGGCACGUAAAGUCUGGUGUUAAAGGCAGAGGCUCAACUUCUGUACGGCACUGGAUACUUGCGAGCUAGAAUGCGGUAGAGGUAAAGGGAAUUCCUGGUGUAGCGGUGAAAUGCUUAGAUAUAACUUAGAACCCCGAUAGCGAAGGCAGCUUACCAGACUGUUACUGACGCUGAAGCACGAGAGCGUGGGUAGCGAACAGG
RNAcentral lists this ribosomal RNA (253 nucleotides) under uncultured bacterium. RNAcentral's name for it is "partial 16S ribosomal RNA". It matches the Rfam family "Bacterial small subunit ribosomal RNA", at positions 524 to 776 of the family's 1533-position model. The record is from RNAcentral.